Molecule: long non-coding RNA, 398 nt
Filed under: Mytilus galloprovincialis (Mediterranean mussel)
Lineage: Eukaryota; Metazoa; Mollusca; Bivalvia; Mytilida; Mytilidae
Source: RNAcentral
UGGGCAUCACUCCAGUGAAUAUUCUGUUCAAUCACUAGAAUUUUCAUGCGGUUAAAGUCAUCAGGUUUGUGACCCGACUGUCUGAAGUGCUGAGAAACUGGGAGAAGUGGCUUCUUAGAGAUAACACUCCUAUGGCCAUUGAGGCGUUUGUGGAAAGGCUGCUUUGACUCACCAACAUAUUGGAGGCCACAAACCGAACAUUCUAGUAUGUAAAUAACAUUCAUACUUUUGCAGGUAACAUUGCAAAAUAUCUUAUAGUUGUUUUCGGUUGCCUUACUGUGAAAUGUUGAUGAAUGCUGCAUCUGUAGGCAGCAUUUGCAGCGUUUUUCUUCACACGAACGACAUUCUCCAGAAGUACUUCUAUUAUCAGACACUUCAGCCCGCACCAGCAGGUUCCG